ACUACUUUCUGGAAAAAAAGGAAGAAAAAACGAAGACGACUAGAAGAGAAGGACGACAACUAGGAGACAAAAACUCAUCGAGAAGUAGAAGAAGAAGCGGCACAAUCUUGGAAAGGAAGAGCCCAUGCAUACACACACACACGCAAUUCCAUCAUCUGGGUCUCUCUUUUUCCUUCUAAUGCUCCGCUCAUGCUAUUCGGACGUACGGACCCUAAAGGGACCUUCUUCAUUCAAAAACGAAAAGCAGCGGACACGCAAUUCCCCUCAAAUAUGCAUGAAAUAUUCCGAGUUAAAGUGAAUAUCGAAGGGAAAGGACAACGGCAGCAGAAGCAAUGGAGAAGAGCAAAUGUUUCCAGGAAGUUUAUACUGUGAGGGAAAUGUUGGCAUUGUAUUAGCUCAAUUUGAAGAAAUGGCCACUAUUUGGAAUGGGGUAUUGUCACUUCAGAAACCUCAACAUUUCUAGAUCAGAAUGUUUCAAUAAUACAGUUUUAAAACGCGGACUACAGUACUUCAAACACUACCCUAAUCUUUUCUAAUACGACUCUGCUGUGUUAUUUCAUUAGCCAAUAACUUUGAUUAUUGUUCAAACGACACAUCUCCAAGAAUCCUUUCGAUAAAUCUAUCAGACCAUUAACGCCGUUUCCUCCAAUUCCUUUUCAACCGAGCUGGCUAAUGAAUCCAAGAGAACACAUCUGGCGACGGAGCAUCUAUAAAACGGCCGCCCGUCUGCUGUUCUCAAUUCCGUCUGUUAUUUGGUGCGAACACAACACGAUGGCGGAUGGAAUGAAGGGUCCCAUAAUACUCGAAUGCGCAAUUUGUAUUCGUAUGGGCGGUAGUGCAAUAAAAUAGGCCGCUACGAAGUGACUAGAAAAAGGUCCAUAAAACCUAGUGUGCUCUGUUACCGAUUGCUGGAUGACUGGGGCACUAAAAAAAAUUGAUUGUAUAAUUUGAAUGAGAUGUAACAAUCGGUAAAAAUUUGUUUUUCAAAAAGAAGUAUGACUGUGGUUGAACUUUAAAAGAACAAUUGUACAGUGCAUUUUUGAUCUACGAAACCGUCACAACUUUCCUAACUAUUAUCUCCGUGUAUGAAUACCCUACUGGCUGAUCACUUCUACCUUCUACCUUUGUGCACAAAAUAACCGGCUUGUUGCCUACCGAUAGGCGGCACUCAAGUGCGUGUUCCGGCCUUCGCGCAUCCUUAUCACUUUUCCUCUACUCAAAUACAACACAACUAUCCUCAGUCAAUCGAUCCGAGCAUUACUCGAGCUCUUUCUCUCUCUCUCUAACUAUCUUCAAUCACGUUUUGAAUCAACGAAUCUCGUCAGGAAACCGAUCGCAAUGACGACAGGAGGGUAGAACGAAGAUGAGGACAGCCCUGCAGUAGCAGCAGCAGCUGCCCGGUCCUUUGUCUUCGGCGCCAUGUGUUGCCUUCCAUCUCUCUUCUCCUUCACAAACGCCCUUGUUACCAUCAUCAUCACACCAUCUGGCGGCACUUUCCCAUUCAACACCAGAUGCCCUCUCUCUGUGUCUCCUACAGUUCAAGUUAUCCCUAGCAGUGGUUGGUGUACCUCUAGUCCUUCGACGUUAUAGAGCAAUCGGUAAAGAGAAUAAAAAAGUUGCUCUCUUUGAUCUAUCAAUUCUCACCGUCAUAUACAGCAGAAAAAGUGUUUACUUCGAAAGAAUAGCAAAACAGAUUAAAUUAAUUUCUCCAGGGUAAGAUCAUAUUCUUGUAUUGCAACUGUCAACUAAUCCUAUACAACACAUGUCUUUUGUUUGCCGCCUUUUCUAAGAUGUAUAUGAAUCCAGAACCAACGGCACCUGCUCAGCCGAUAGUAAACCAGUGUGUCCGAUGCGUUUCUGGUUCUGCACCUGUUGCGUUCUAUCUUCUCCGAUGCUUCCUAUCUUCUUCAGAUGAUCAAAAAAUCGAAAGGCGCUAGACGACGAGGUCGACGACACCCCGGGAGGCAAGUGAUUCCUACCAGACGUCCGACCGCCCUUCGCACCUUUACAACCACUUUUUGUAUGUGAGGCUAGUGUUUUGAGAAGUUACGAAGAUGAUCGAGGGUGCGAAAGAUAAGGUACCGAAGGAGAGAGAAACGAGAAAAUGAGGGAAAAUGAGUGAAAUUGAGCGAAUUGGAGAAAAGAUGAUAUCUUCGGUUUCAAAUCUAACUCGAAAACUUUCGAACAAUGUACACAGGGGACUCUUGAACUGCAAACGACCAUCAGAGCAUCAGAUACAUAACAUAAACAAUUAUUUUCAAUUCCAAUUUCAAUUGUAUUCAAACUUCAGUCCCUGGAAACUAUUUCUCUAAAUCGACUAUAUGAAUUAGGUUUAACGAAGAAAUAAUAAAUUGUCAAAACACC
This is a non-coding RNA of Caenorhabditis elegans, 2364 nucleotides long. Lineage: Eukaryota; Metazoa; Nematoda; Chromadorea; Rhabditida; Rhabditidae. The record is from Ensembl.